This 1200-nucleotide ribosomal RNA is filed under the name metagenome. RNAcentral describes it as "bacterial LSU rRNA". It matches the Rfam family "Bacterial large subunit ribosomal RNA", at positions 1605 to 2815 of the family's 2925-position model. The record is from RNAcentral.
CUUCCAAGAAAAGCUCGCAAUGUCACAAAUAAAAAGUGCCUGUACCAUAACCGACACAGGUGGGUAGGUAGAGUAUACUAAGGGGCGCGAGAUAACUCUCUCUAAGGAACUCGGCAAAAUGACUCCGUAACUUCGGGAGAAGGAGUGCCUUAUUUAUAAGGUUGCAAUAACAAGAUCCAAGCAACUGUUUAUCAAAAACACAGGUCUCCGCUAAGUCGUAAGACGAUGUAUGGGGGCUGACGCCUGCCCAGUGCCAGAAGGUUAAAGAAGUUGGUUAGUGUAUGCGAAGCUGAUGACUGAAGCCCUGGUGAACGGCGGCCGUAACAAUAACGGUCCUAAGGUAGCGAAAUUCCUUGUCGGGUAAGUUCCGACCCGCACGAAAGGCGUAAUGAUUUGGAUACUGUCUCGGAGAGAGGCUCGGUGAAAUAGACUUGUCUGUGAAGAUGCGGACUACCUGCACCAGGACAGAAAGACCCUAUGAAGCUUUACUGUAACUUGAAAUUGGAAUUGGACUUUGCUUGCGCAGUAUAGGUGGGAAGCGUUGAAAAUAUUCUUGCGGGAGUAUUGGAGCUAUCAGUGAGAUACCACUCUUGUAAUGUUAGAUUUCUAACUUUGAACCAUAAUCUGGUCAAAGAACAGUUUCAGGUGGGCAGUUUGACUGGGGCGGUCGCCUCCCAAAUGGUAACGGAGGCGUACAAAGGUUUCCUCUGAACGGAUAGAAAUCGUAUCUAGAGUGUAAAGGCAUAAGGAAGCUUGACUGUGAGACCUACAAGUCGAGCAGGGACGAAAGUCGGUCUUAGUGAUCUGACGGUACUGAGUGGAAAGGCCGUCACUCAACGGAUAAAAGUUACUCUAGGAUAACAGGCUGAUCUCCCCCAAGAGUUCACAUCGACGGGGAGGUUUGGCACCUCGAUGUCGGCUCAUCGCAUCCUGGGGCGGUAGUACGUCCCAAGGGUUGGGCUGUUCGCCCACGAAAGCGGUACGCGAGCUGGGUUCAGAACGUCGUGAGACAGUUCGGUCCAUAUCCGGUGUAGGCGCUAGAAUAUUGAGAGGAGCCUUCUUUAGUACGAGAGGACCGAGAAGGACACACCGCUGGUGUACCAGUUAUCGUGCCAACGGUAAACGCUGGGUAGCUAUGUGUGGAGUGGAUAACCGCUGAAAGCAUCUAAGUGGGAAGCCCACCUCGAGAUGAGUAUUCAC